CGUCGGCUGGGCGGCCUCCGGG
Molecule: unclassified non-coding RNA, 22 nt
Filed under: Mus musculus (house mouse)
Lineage: Eukaryota; Metazoa; Chordata; Mammalia; Rodentia; Muridae
Description: oocyte_clustered_small_RNA11893
Source: RNAcentral